UAGUACAGUAAUAGUACAAUAAUGGCUUUC
This 30-nucleotide non-coding RNA is filed under the name Mus musculus (house mouse). The record is from RNAcentral. Lineage: Eukaryota; Metazoa; Chordata; Mammalia; Rodentia; Muridae.